This 465-nucleotide ribosomal RNA is filed under the name Vreelandella stevensii. Its description in RNAcentral is "partial 16S ribosomal RNA". It matches the Rfam family "Bacterial small subunit ribosomal RNA", at positions 338 to 795 of the family's 1533-position model. The record is from RNAcentral. Lineage: Bacteria; Pseudomonadati; Pseudomonadota; Gammaproteobacteria; Oceanospirillales; Halomonadaceae.
CCUACGGGGGGCAGCAGUGGGGAAUAUUGGACAAUGGGGGCAACCCUGAUCCAGCCAUGCCGCGUGUGUGAAGAAGGCCCUCGGGUUGUAAAGCACUUUCAGUGAGGAAGAACGCCUGGUGGUUAAUACCCAUCAGGAAAGACAUCACUCACAGAAGAAGCACCGGCUAACUCCGUGCCAGCAGCCGCGGUAAUACGGAGGGUGCGAGCGUUAAUCGGAAUUACUGGGCGUAAAGCGCGCGUAGGUGGCUUGAUAAGCCGGUUGUGAAAGCCCCGGGCUCAACCUGGAAACGGCAUCCGGAACUGUCAAGCUAGAGUGCAGGAGAGGAAGGUAGAAUUCCCGGUGUAGCGGUGAAAUGCGUAGAGAUCGGGAGGAAUACCAGUGGCGAAGGCGGCCUUCUGGACUGACACUGACACUGAGGUGCGAAAGCGUGGGUAGCAAACGGGAUUAGAUACCCCAGUAGUC